Drosophila albomicans is the source of this 649-nucleotide long non-coding RNA. RefSeq lists it as uncharacterized. The record is from RefSeq and is a predicted model, not a curated record. Lineage: Eukaryota; Metazoa; Arthropoda; Insecta; Diptera; Drosophilidae. The transcript is spliced from 3 exons.
CUUCGACAAUUUUUAUCUGAUCGCAACCAAAUUUUCAAGAAUCACAAUUACUAUUGUGUAUUAUUGUAUUAUUAUAUACACAAAAAAUUGUCUCUAGCUUUAAAAUUAAGCUUGUUGUUCCAUUUUGUUUAAUUUCCGGAGGCGGAAGUGGGCGUGUUUCAUACGGAUCGUCUCGGCUGUUGUAUAGCGGGUAUAAAUAUAGAAGUUAGCCUCUCUUUCACCACGAAGCGAUGAGAGACUUGAGUACUACCAAGGUACCUUCGAUUUAUUCGUCGGUCUGUAGAGUCUUCAGGAUUUGCGGAAAGCUGUGACAAGACCUUCCGAAGAUUCCCAAGAGGUUUUUCAAUGGAAACCCUGAUAAAUUAAAUUUUAAACAGAGAAUGUGGAAAGAGUCCCACAUUCGUCUGUCAAAAAAUAAUGCGAAAAUAAACUCCAAAGAAAAUGCAAGUAAAUAAAUUGAAUGUAUGUAACACGCAAAAGGACCCCAGCUUAUAAAUUCUUAAUCAGCGUCAACAGUCGUGACCGUAUACGGAAGCUAGAAUCUAGUUUAGAAGUGUUGAUUAUUGCUCUUAUAGUUCCUGAGAUAUAGCCAUUCAUAUGGACAGACGAUCUUAUUUAUAUCAACCAAUAUAAAGAAUACAUAUACGCC